Molecule: ribosomal RNA, 167 nt
Filed under: Homolochunia gadaletae
Lineage: Eukaryota; Metazoa; Arthropoda; Malacostraca; Decapoda; Homolidae
Description: partial 16S ribosomal RNA
Source: RNAcentral
UCUUUAUGUAAAUAUUUGUUUUUGUUAAUAAGUUGUUUAAUAAUUUAAAAAUAAAUAUUGCAUUGUGUUGGGGAGACAGAAGUAUAAAUAGUGUAACUGCUUGUGUUUAAAUACUUAUAAUAUUUGUUUAUUUUUAAAGAUCCUUUUGAAGAUUUAAAGAAUAAGUU